RNAcentral lists this long non-coding RNA (282 nucleotides) under Phoenix dactylifera (date palm). Its description in RNAcentral is "long non-coding RNA (PDAC_LNC008262)". Lineage: Eukaryota; Viridiplantae; Streptophyta; Magnoliopsida; Arecales; Arecaceae. The record is from RNAcentral.
CGCGAGCCCUUUCUUUUUGCGCCAAGCUGAAAUGCUCCUUGACUCUCUUCUCUUGUCUCAUCCCCUCUUGUCUCCUCGAGGAGCUUACCUACUAGCGGACUCACGAUGGGAGGCCAUGGCUUCCUCCGCGUUGGCAUACUUAUCUUCUUGCGCCAACAUUUCAGCCAAAUCAGCAGGGAAGGGCUUCUCCAAGAAAAAGAAAAAGUGUGGCAGUCGUAAGCUGCUCUUCAUCGCCAACAUUGUGACCAACUGACCCAUGUUGUAGACCUCCAAGGUUGCCAC